AUGCAGCGCCUCUUCGACACCAGCCGCGAGGUCUUCGCCGCCUCCGCCCCCGGCUUCGUGCCGCCGCCCGACGCCGUCCUCCGCCUCUCCGCCAUCCUCAAUGAUCUGAAGCUGCAAGAUGUUGGCAUAGACACAAGCAUGACGUGCUUCAAGCGCAACGACUCCAGGGUGCCUGCUUCAGUCACCUAUCUGCAUUUCUAUGACUGCCCCAAGUUCUCGUUUGGUAUCUUCUGUUUACCCAAGCAUGCUGUGAUUCCUCUGCACAACCAUCCCGGGAUGACCGUCUUCAGCAAGAUGCUCUUCGGCUCCAUGCACCUCAAGUCGUAUGACUGGGCUAGAGCUAACUCAGAGGCUGGCCCUAACAACGCGCUCAUCACCUCAGAUGGGGCUCGUUUGGCAAAGAUAAACACAAACGCCGUUGUUGACGCUUCAGCCGAGACCAUAGUUCUGUACCCUGAAAACGGAGGCAACCUGCACUGCUUCACGGCGCUCACCCCUUGCGCUGUUCUGGACGUGAUGGGACCCCCUUACAACCACCUUGCUGGUAGGGACUGCGCCUACUACAGCGAGUCCCCGUUUGCAAACGCAGCCGGUGUGGUCGACGGGCGGUACUCGUGGCUCAAGGAAAUCCCAAACAACUUCCAGAUGAAGGGCGUAACGAUGCCGCGGUGCUUUGUCGUCUAG
RNAcentral lists this ribosomal RNA (684 nucleotides) under Triticum aestivum (bread wheat). RNAcentral describes it as "partial small subunit ribosomal RNA". Lineage: Eukaryota; Viridiplantae; Streptophyta; Magnoliopsida; Poales; Poaceae. The record is from RNAcentral.